Long non-coding RNA from Chinchilla lanigera (long-tailed chinchilla), 4121 nucleotides. RefSeq lists it as uncharacterized. The record is from RefSeq and is a predicted model, not a curated record. The transcript has 2 exons. NCBI's taxonomy places the organism in Eukaryota, Metazoa, Chordata, Mammalia, Rodentia, Chinchillidae.
UUCAUAUGUAUCUCAAAACUCUUUAAUAUUUCCUUUUUCCUAUCUCUUUCUACCCUCCCACCUCUUUUUUUCCCGUUCCUUCUUUUACCCUUAAAAUAUAUGUAAAUCUAAAAAAAGUAGAAAAGCAAAAAAUCCAAACUUUGUAAUUAAAUAAAACUAGGUUUCCCCCCUGUACAGUUCAAAGAGUGUUUGUGAGAAAUCUGAGAAUUCAUGUGGGAGUUAAGCACUAAUUUCCAUAUAUAGAAAUUCCAUCUGUAGAAACCCACUUAAGUCAAAAGUAAAGGUAAUGGGAAGAUAAGAUUUCUUUACAACAGAUUUUCAAAACUGACUUCAAACAGGGGACCCACACCAUAUAUUGAUUUCUUAGAGUCUCAAAAGACAAAGCCCACUGAAUUAAUUUACUGCUCUGUAUCCUGUGGUCUUAGGAAGUACUUAGCUAUAUUUUUCCUGUGAGUAAACUCUGCCUGGAAAUUACUUUUGGAAUUAACCACAUCAUCUCAUUCCAGUCACUAGGGUGUCAUUCAGUAAAUUACUUCUUUAUUGCUCCUUAGUGGCGAAAAGAAGGAAACCAAGAGUGGUGGUAAUUUGUUAGAAAAAAGACAGCUCCAUAUUGCAAGUAUUUCAGCAAAGUAAUUCCAUGUUUUUAGAUCUCUUCUACUUUUUUUUUUUUUUUUUCAGGAAACAUCUGUUGAGCACCUAUUACAGAGAAGUAUUUUAACUGGGCAAUGGAGAGACAAGAUUAAUAAAGUCAUCCCUGACUACAAAAAUUAAGUUUAGUGAGAGUAGCAAGUGACAAUUAAUUAUGGUGUAUUUUCUUGGAAGGAGCAUGUGCUGUAUUACCUGAAUAGAACAGGCUUGUGGUAGGGGGAGAGUGGCAGAUGCAAUAACAGGUGGCCACAGCGCAGAGUGGUGGUAGUGGAGGUGCAGGUGGUGGUGGCAGUGCCGGGGUGGAGAGAUAGUGGAGAAGGUGAGGAUGGUUGGGGUGGAGGUCACAGUAAGCUUUUCAGAGAGAGUAAUUAUUGAGUUGAGUCCUGAGAGAUAAAUGGGAAUUAGCCAAAUGAGAGAAGAACAUGUUCCCAAACAUAAUACAAUGUAUUUUAUUUGAAAGUUUCCACUUAGUUAACAGGAGAGCAAUUCAGAGAGAUUCUUCAAGGUCUUCUUUCAGAAGCUUGGCUCCGCUCUCCUGCUGUGCGGUUUGCAUCUCAUACACACAUCAUCUCAUCUCCCUGCACAUUUGUAAUGUAUUCUGGCAGAGGAUGCUUUUGGCCUCAUGUCAGGGUUUGAUUCAAAGCAACACCUUCUCCAUCGCCUUUGCUAUAGCAAGAAGUAUGCUAUGCGUCAUCAGACCGCCUGGUAACAUUGACACUUUUAUAUAUCCCUGAGAUAUAAUUUCUGUAUCUGAAAGGCCAAAAAGUUUGUAGAGCAAGUUUUUGGAGAAAUAAGCAAAAUAAAGACAACCUGUUAAAUUUUCCAGUGUCGGUGCACAUAAGGAAAAAUGGUAUUCUGGGGACUAAGGUCAGCGAGGUGAGAAAAAUGAUGCAUGAGGCUGUCGCAUAAAUCUCAUUGGUGUCCUAUAGCUUUUAAUCUGCUUCACGUCAGUAGGGAUUUAAAAUGCCUGUCCACCAGGCAUGGGUCAGUCAGGAUAUUCCUUCAGGGAGCCUCAGAAAAAAUGUAGAUCUUUUUUUUUAUAUCUUUCUUGCCAUGUAGAUCUAAAAAUCAUGAUGUCAUUCAUUUUUAAAAAUAAGCUAUGUCACUGGUUUUUAAUUUUAAUUUCUAACUGAUACAUAAAACAUAAAAUUGUAAUGGGGUUUUAUGUAAUGUUAUGCAGUGUCUGUGUGUAUAUUUAUAUCUUCUAAAACAUUUACCAUUUCUUUAUGAUGAAAGCUUUCAGACUAUUUUCUUCUAGCUUUUUGAAAUGUACAGGACAUUAUUGUUACUUAUAGCCCACGGGAUUAUUCUUGAUACUGAGACACAGCAGUGGCCUCUGUUCAACUCACACGUUCACUUCAGCUCUCCUUAAAAUCAAUUUUAUUUCAGUGCCUGCCAGCAUAUUUUAUGUUUGACUGAUACUUUCUUUAAUUAUAUCUAUAUCUAUCUAUAUUGAUACAUGGAUAUAUCUAUAUAUUUUCCACAGAACUCAAGGUUAUAGAAACACUUUUGUAGUAUUGACUGUGAUUGAAAUGAUGCAUGUUCAUGCAGAUAGUGGUACGAUGCAUCCUAACUUUAACAUCUCUUAUUUGGUAAGUGCUUAUUAUAAGCCAGACAUCAUCUUUCCAUGAGGAGGAAUUUCACACUUGCAACACACUUACUGGGUGUGUAUUAUCAUUUCACAAAGAACACCCAUGUUUGGAAAGGUAAGAGAAUUUUUGAACAUCACCUACUAAAAAGUAGGAAAAGAAGAAUUUGAAUUCAAAGCCAGUUUCCUUUGUGCUACAUUGAACGAAUUUUAAUCUUUCAUAGAUGCAUAUGAACAGAAAUUUUCUGUCUUCACUGUGUUUGAACUAUGGAUGCCUUCUAAAUGUGAAGCCGAUAAAUUAGAUCUUUCCAAGAUAUUUAGAUAUAUGACUGAAGAAUGGAAAGUUUGAAAACAGUAAUGCAGAAGACUAUAUUGUAGAUGGUAGAAAUUUUACAGAAAUGGAACUUGAACUAAAGUCUUAAAGAUAUAUUAGAUACACUGAUGACAAAAAGGAAUAUAUUUCAUAAAGAGGGAUAUUAUUUGAAGGAAAUGUCACAGAUAUGGAUAUUUAUAAAGAGUAAUGAUAGCUGAUUUUUCAGUGCUUAUAAUUUAAAACAUUGCCAGGACCAAGGUAGAAAGUCGGGGCUGAGCACCUAGUGAGGAGAUGGUGUAAAGACAAAUAUCAUACUUAACAUUUUAUUGAGAUGAACUGUGAAAACAAUGACUUCUCCUCACUUCAUAUAGAAAAAAAUCCCAGAAUGUCCUUGUAAUGGUUGCAUUUCAAUAGACAGUUCCCACAUCUAUGCAUGCAAGAACAUCAAUAAUGUUCAGUAAUUUUGGUAGGUAAUACUCUGAGAUUAAUCAGAAGACUGACGUACAAGCCAGUUUGCACCUAACAGCUUUUUCCCUUGUCUUUAGAAAAGCAUGGUUCUUCAACCAGAAAUCCUGCCAAACAUGAGGUUGUAAUGUUUUUAACAUUGGUAAGCUCUCUAUGGGAAAAGGUAAAUCAGCUAGCAAUUUCCAUGAAUUUUUACAUGAUUCUAAUAGACUUUUCAUUCUAAGUUUUCUUUGGAAACAAUGCAUUUUUUCCCUCCAAGUCCAGAAUGAGAACAAGAUGAGUUGCUGUAGUGUGGCAAGUUGAAGCCAGGUGAGCUGGAUACAAGUGGAAGAUGUGACAGUGCAGCUGUUUGGUGUCCAUCAAAGGACUGCAUGAUAUAUUAAAGUCUUCACAACAGACUGUCCAUUCAGGAGGAAGCAGCAAGACCAGGGUUCGGCUGGUGGUCUGCAGCUUUCUAUACUGCAUGGAACAAGUGUAUUUUCUGGACUGGGGCCAACGAAUCAUUAAAAUAUCAUGGAGAUCAAUAUUCUCAAGCUAGUCAAGUUGAGUAAGAUAAAUUCCAUUUUAUAACUGGGAAAAAUGGGACUAUACCAGAAGUAAAUAUGUUCAAUGCCUUCCACAUGUCAAUGUUCAAUGCCUUCCACAUUAGUUGCUUUACAUUCUUUCACAGACCUUCAGUAAUCUAGCUGAAGUGUUUUCACCCUUACCCAAGUGAGGCACUGAGCUCUAUGAAGGCUGAGACUGUGCCUCUUCUAUUCAUUAUAUUUAUUCCCAGGACUUAGCAUUGUGUCUGGUGUAUUGGGUAUAAAAUAAAUAUUUGUUGCACUAAUGUACAGAAGAAUGAACAAAUGAAAACAUUGAAUCUCUGGAAGAACAAGGAAACUAGCUGAAGUCAAGCAAAGUUCUAUCAGUGGUGGUGAUCGCCUCAGACUUGGAUCCCUGUGCUAGAACCUCUUCCAAGGGCUGCAGAAUCUGCCUGCUUUCCAGGUGCUGUGUAUGGUGCUAUGACUGAUAGUUUAUGCAUUUUUAUGCUGAAAGACCAUUGAAUAGCUGGCAACUGAUGUUGAGUCAAUAUAAAAUAAAAUAUUUCUGCAGAUUUUUAUCCUC